UACGAAGGGGGCUAGCGUUGUUCGGAAUCACUGGGCGUAAAGCGCACGUAGGCGGAUGUGCCAGUCAGGGGUGAAAUCCCGGAGCUCAACUUCGGAACUGCCUCUGAUACAGCACGUCUUGAGUCCGGAAGAGGUGGGUGGAAUUCCUAGUGUAGAGGUGAAAUUCGUAGAUAUUAGGAAGAACACCGGUGGCGAAGGCGGCCCACUGGUCCGGUACUGACGCUGAGGUGCGAAAGCGUGGGGAGCAAAC
Molecule: ribosomal RNA, 250 nt
Filed under: uncultured Alphaproteobacteria bacterium
Lineage: Bacteria; Pseudomonadati; Pseudomonadota; Alphaproteobacteria
Description: partial 16S ribosomal RNA
Rfam family: Bacterial small subunit ribosomal RNA
Source: RNAcentral